This is a long non-coding RNA of Athalia rosae (coleseed sawfly), 374 nucleotides long. RefSeq lists it as uncharacterized. The record is from RefSeq and is a predicted model, not a curated record. The transcript has 3 exons. Lineage: Eukaryota; Metazoa; Arthropoda; Insecta; Hymenoptera; Athaliidae.
CCCUUGUUUAAUUCUUUUAAAAACCGCGGUACGAUCGUAAGUGAUAUCAAGGAUUCGAUGUUUUUCGUUCGGAAGGAUGAAGAAAUUGUUGGUGGCUUACACAUCAAAUUCACGAUGGUGAAUCUCUAAUUGCUGAAAGAAUGAUUUGCACUUCACACCAGAACAUCUUCUUUUAUUUUUCGAGAAGAAAAAUUCACUACCCGUGAAUACGAUUUCUGAUAAAAAAUACGUGUUUUCAACCACGAAGGAACGUUUUGAUCGAUGUAUUGUGCAUUGGGGAACCGUAGAGAAGGUUCUGGAGUUUUGAAGGGAUGAACAGUUUUCAAUUUUUUCAAAAAGUAUUCCUUGUUUAUCUGCUUUGGAUCUCUGUACUU